RNAcentral lists this ribosomal RNA (380 nucleotides) under uncultured eukaryote. RNAcentral describes it as "partial 18S ribosomal RNA". It matches the Rfam family "Eukaryotic small subunit ribosomal RNA", at positions 592 to 976 of the family's 1831-position model. The record is from RNAcentral.
CAACAGCGUAUAUUAAAGUUGUUGCAGUUAAAAAGCUCGUAGUUGGAUUUGUGGCGUACGGUGUGUUCCGGGCACUUGUUGUCUGAGUAACCUGCUGUUGCCAUCCUUGGGUGGAACCUGUGUGGCAUUAGGUUGUCGUGCAGGGGAUGCCCAUCAUUUACUGUGAAAAAAUUAGAGUGUUCAAAGCAGGCUUAUGCCGUUGAAUAUAUUAGCAUGGAAUAAUGAGAUAGGACUUUUUUGCUAUUUUGUUGGUUUGCGCAAAGAGGUAAUGAUUAAUAGGGACAGUUGGGGGUAUUCGUAUUCCAUUGUCAGAGGUGAAAUUCUUGGAUUUUUGGAAGACGAACUACUGCGAAAGCAUUUACCAAGGAUGUUUUCAUUAA